Molecule: long non-coding RNA, 1404 nt
Organism: Piliocolobus tephrosceles (Ugandan red Colobus)
Lineage: Eukaryota; Metazoa; Chordata; Mammalia; Primates; Cercopithecidae
Exons: 3
Source: RefSeq, a predicted model, not a curated record
UAGGCAGAACCUAGAAAGGGGAAGCGCGGGAGGCAGAAUGAGACCUAAUCCCCUCCCUGGACAUCCCGGGCUUUUAAGGCCUUCAGACUCCCCAGUUCCCAGCCUGGACCCCAGCUCUAGUUUGGGCUCCAGCUCCCUUCCCAGAUUGGAUUCCUAUUGUAAAGGCCCCUGGCGUUGAUCUAGGUCAGGCUGGGAGCUUCCUCCCCAACUCCUCCCUGGGCCUGAGCCCCACUACUAGCCCAGCCCCCGUCCUGGGACACGAGCCCAAGCCCUAUGACUCCCCUCCCUCCAGCUCAGUACUCCACCCCCUUCUUAAACGCCAUCCCCCAACCCAGAUCCUGGUGAGUCCUGGCCAGAAACCAGCUGCCUCCUACCCUGGGUCCAGCCCCGCCUCCCCGGCAGCUCGGGCCGGGUUGUGCCCUGCGCUCACCUCCCAGACACAGCCCCAUUGUCACUCGGUACAGGAUGUUGUCAACGAUGCCGCCCUUCAGAAUUCCACACAAGGCCCUGACUCUGACCUUGAUGGAGUGCAUGGAAGACAGGAAGAUGCUCUUAAACCCAGCCUGCUGCAAACACAGGUUACCGCCAGCAUGAAAAAGUUACACCCCAUAAAGUGGCCAUUCUCUUCUCAAGACGUGGCACUGUGCUAAAUCAGUUCCGAUGGUCAACAAAUAUGCGAACAAAUGGUAACUUUAUCAUUAUUGAAGGAAUGCAAAUGUAAACAAAAGUGACUUUUCCAUUUUUCACCUGUUCAAUGGUCUAUGUUCAAAAUAAAUGAUUCUCCAGGAUUGGAUGAGCAUGGCUUUGGGAUCUCUUCUACAGUAAGUAGAUACACAGGUGCAUAAUCUUCCUGAAGGCACUUGAGCAAUGUCUAUAGAAUGGCUUAAAAUGUACACACAUCUUAAACACGGCCAACCAGGAGCAGGAAGCACUCCUAACAACCUGAUUGUGGUUUCCAAAUAACAUUUGGGAAAGUACCAAAAUUCCAAAAGGAAAAGAAGAGGGCUCCUUGGAAAAUGGCGGCUUAAAGGUGAGAGACAGGAAAUGAACAAGAUGAGCUUGGAACAUCUCGUGGUGGCAGACAAUGGGCAAAUGAUCAAAGAUGACUGGGCCAUAGCAAAAGGACACAGGAGCCAGCUGGAAGAGGCUCUUCCACACCCAACAUGGAGGCAUUUGAGUAUCACUGAGGGUGCAAUUUAAAUGAAUUGAAACACAUUAAACAUCACACACACAAACACACACCCCUGCAUCUAAAUUCAUCAGCUACCAUGGCAGAAUGCUGGGGAAACCAAUUCAUUAUUAUUAUUAUUUCUGAGACAGAGUUUCUCUCUUGUCACCUGGGCUGGAGUGCAGUGGCGCAAUCUCGGCUCACUGCAACCUCCGCCUCUUGGGUUCAGGCAAUUC